Molecule: long non-coding RNA, 301 nt
Organism: Ictalurus punctatus (channel catfish)
Lineage: Eukaryota; Metazoa; Chordata; Actinopteri; Siluriformes; Ictaluridae
Source: Ensembl
GGGUGUAUGGAAUAGGGUGUAUGGUGUAGGGUGUAGGGAGUAUGGAGUAGGGUGUAGGGUGUAUGGUGUAGGGUGUAGGGAGUAUGGUGUAGGGAGUAUGGUGUAGGGUGUAGGGUGUAUGGUGUAGGGAGUAUGGUGUAGGGUGUAGGGUGUAUGGUGUAGGUGUAGGGAGUAUGGUGUAGGGAGUAUGGUGUAGGGUGUAGGGUGUAUGGUGUAGGGUGUAGGGUGUAUGGUGUAGGGUGUAGGGUGUAGGGAGUAUGGUGUAGGGAGUAUGGUGUAGGGUGUAGGGAGUAUGGUGUAG